This 946-nucleotide small RNA is filed under the name Pongo abelii (Sumatran orangutan). RNAcentral describes it as "retained intron". Lineage: Eukaryota; Metazoa; Chordata; Mammalia; Primates; Hominidae. The record is from RNAcentral.
UGAUUCUUUGAAGACAAACUUGGGGUUCACUAUAUUUAACACGUAGGACCCCUAGUAUCUGCCACUGGCCUGCAGGGGGUGGCUGCAGGGACACACACCUGUUGGGUGCCUGCUGGUUCCACCCAGGAGCACAGCCAGCAGCCUCAUGCCUCCUGCCCCCUGGCAGUCGAGUGCAUGUGGAGCGGGUGGCCUUGGCCUCGACAGGGUUCCCAGGGUCCCACUGGAAGCCCCACGUGGAACUGUGCCUCUGGGACGUCGCUCCGGGGACCUUGGGUGUGGGCUGGCCCCAUCCUGUGGGGAGGUCCUGGGAGGGUCAGUCUGGCCCGCCUGCCUGCUGACUUGGGUGUGGCCCGAGCAGGUAAAGGCAACACAGGAGGAGAACCGGGAGCUGAGGAGCAGGUGUGAGGAGCUCCAUGGGAAGAACCUGGAGCUGGGGAAGAUCAUGGACAGGUUCGAAGAGGUUGUGUACCAGGCCAUGGAGGAAGUUCAGAAACAGAAGGAACUUGCCAAAGCUGAAAUCCAGAAAGUUCUAAAAGAAAAAGACCAACUUACUACAGAUCUGAACUCCAUGGAGAAGUCCUUCUCCGACCUCUUCAAGCGUUUCGAGAAACAGAAGGAAGUGAUCGAGGGCUACCGCAAGGUAUGUCUCCGCCACCCUGGUGUCCUCACCUCGGAGGUUGAUGGACUCAUGGUCCAAGCCAGCGGGGCUACAAGCUGCUGUCUUUGCACCUUGGUCCUUGGCCAAGCCUCCCCUUGCCAUGGGGGCAUGGGAUGACCUGUGAACGAGACGGGGUGCAGGAGUCACAGCAUAGCUGGUUUGCGAGGCAGCUGAGGGUGGCAGGAGGCAGAGUGAGCAGGGAGGCCAUCUGAGCCGUCCGCUGUUGUGUGAAAGACGACAGCUAUGAUCAAACAUCUGUGAGAUUUGAGACAGCACUGGCGCACCGGG